Molecule: long non-coding RNA, 407 nt
Filed under: Mustela putorius furo (domestic ferret)
Lineage: Eukaryota; Metazoa; Chordata; Mammalia; Carnivora; Mustelidae
Description: lncRNA (ENSMPUG00000025225.1)
Source: RNAcentral
CAUCCUUGUGGUUGCAAUAAAUACACUUCCACGCCCAACUCUGUUGGACUAGAUGCAGACGCCAUUUAAGGGGAUGUCAAAGUCCUUCCCCAGCAAAAGGCUCUUGUCUUCCUUAGGAUGUCAGAACGGGUGCUGCUGAGGAAUGAAUGAAUGCCUCCCCUUGGGACACAGAAAUUUGGAUUUUUUUUUUUUUUUUUUCCCUGCAGCAAGCUCUGUUGUUGACGCUGUGGACGCAGGGCGGGAAGGGACUGUGGAGACAUGUGUGCACUCGGCCUGAGCUCCUCGCUGCUUGGUGAUCACUUAAAAAAUGACGACCGGAUUCUUUCCCAAUUGCCAAGUACCGUGGCAUCCAGCAUCUACUUCCUGCCUCUGAAGUUGACUGCUCUGGCUACCUCCCGUGACUGGAC